CAGCUCCUCAAGACCAACAUCACCACACUCGGCCCGCUCGUCCUACCCAUGUCAGAGCAGCUCCGUUUCCUCACCACCGUCGUGCUCAAGAAGGUCUUCCGCGCCCACAUGAAGGUGUACUUGCCAGACUUCAAGCUCGCGCUCAAGCACUUCUGCAUCCACACCGUCGGCAGGGGUGUCCCCGACAAGCUCGAGCACAACCUCAAGCUCAACCCCUGGCACAUUGAGCCUUCACGAAUGACGCUCUACAGGUUUCGGCAACACCUCCAGCGGCUCGCUCUGGUACGAGGCUACGAGCUCGCCUACUGCGAGUCCAAUGGAUGGAUCAAGAAGGGAUACCGCGUCUAG
This 348-nucleotide ribosomal RNA is filed under the name Triticum aestivum (bread wheat). RNAcentral describes it as "partial small subunit ribosomal RNA". The record is from RNAcentral. Lineage: Eukaryota; Viridiplantae; Streptophyta; Magnoliopsida; Poales; Poaceae.